AAUAAACUAAUUUUUCAUUUUUUACCUACAAUUUUUGACUAUUCGUCUUAUUCAAAAAAAUUUUGUGAUUGAUAUUUUUAUUUUUAUUAGAUAAUAAAUUAUGAACAAUACUUUAUGUGUGACUAUUUUUUUAUAAUUUCCUGAAAAUUUUUCAAAUAAAACGGAUGGUCAAACGUCAGACACGAAAGUCGGAG
This 194-nucleotide microRNA precursor is filed under the name Oryza brachyantha (malo sina). RNAcentral describes it as "MIR812 microRNA precursor family". It matches the Rfam family "MIR812 microRNA precursor family". Lineage: Eukaryota; Viridiplantae; Streptophyta; Magnoliopsida; Poales; Poaceae. The record is from Rfam by way of RNAcentral.